CCCAAACGGCGAAUCAAAAAUUCUAAAAUUUCCAGUGCAGCCUUCUUGUUGUGCUUGUGCAACUGCAAAAUUUUUUGCCUGUUGGAUCCUGUAAUCUAUUCUAUGUGUCUGGGGUGCCGGAACUGAUGUUGCAUCUCUGGUUUUCUUUGCUGCAGGUGAAGAGACUGUCCUACGAAGCGGUGGUGGCUCGAUUUUCCUCCUCUUGGGUUCAGGCGCCAUCUUUCCCAACCAAAAUUGGCAACAGAACUGGAUCUUAUAA
RNAcentral lists this unclassified non-coding RNA (259 nucleotides) under Hevea brasiliensis (rubber tree). The record is from RNAcentral. Lineage: Eukaryota; Viridiplantae; Streptophyta; Magnoliopsida; Malpighiales; Euphorbiaceae.